CAACAAUGGCCCUAAUACACAUGAAUAAACAUCAGAAUGCAUGAAAUAAAUCAACAACAUCAAGUUUCUCCUUUAUGUCACAAAUAAUAAAUAUAAGAAACAACACAAGAGGUGUCAAGAUUUAGGUAUUACGUUUCUCCCCUUGUACAGGAAGAAAAUGGGGAAUACUGUAAUAUUUAUAAUCCAGAGCCCAUCAGAGAAGACAUGUAUAGUUGACCUUAUCUUUGCCCUCAGCACCUCUUAGAAAUGCAAGUUCCUUGUCGAUGAAUUAGGCCUAAAGUUCAUCAGUUUCAAAAGCAUAACUUUACAAGCCAUGGAAGAUAUUUGAGGGAUGCAGAUAGCAGAAGUUCAGCGACGAGGUGCAGAAGGUUCCCUAAGGGAAUAGCGAGAUGAGACUAAAGCUGGGUACCUAGGCUCAUCCCCAACAUGGUGAUAUUUCAAGCCGUAGUCUGGUGGUAAUUGAGGAGCAUAUGGUGGAUAUGCUCUUUCAUUUUCACUGUUUAAUCUCCACGUUGGUGGAUAUGCUCUUUCACUUUCAGUGUGGAAUCUCACCGUUGGUGGAUAUGCUCUUUCAGGUUCACUGCUGAAUCUCCCCGUUGGUGAAUAUGCUCUUCUAUUUUCACUGUUGAAUCUCUCCGUCGGUGGAUAUGCUCUUUCAUUUUCACUGUUUAAUCUCCACGUUGGUGGAUAUGCUCUUUCACUUUCAGUGUGGAAUCUCACCGUUGGUGGAUAUGCUCUUUCAGGUUCACUGCUGAAUCUCCCCGUUGGUGAAUAUGCUCUUCUAUUUUCACUGUUGAAUCUCUCCGUC
This 808-nucleotide unclassified non-coding RNA is filed under the name Hevea brasiliensis (rubber tree). Lineage: Eukaryota; Viridiplantae; Streptophyta; Magnoliopsida; Malpighiales; Euphorbiaceae. The record is from RNAcentral.